GCCGAUUUAGCUUAGUGGUAGAGCGUUGCACUUGUAUUGAUCACAUCUGCGAAGAACUUGAUGCAAAGGUCGGUUGUUCAAUCCAGCCAAUCGGCA
Molecule: non-coding RNA, 96 nt
Organism: Marasmius tenuissimus
Lineage: Eukaryota; Fungi; Basidiomycota; Agaricomycetes; Agaricales; Marasmiaceae
Source: the annotation of a GenBank genome assembly